CACUUCUCUACUGAGCCACAUCCACAGCCCUUUUUGUAUUUUAUUUAGAGACAGGGUCUCACUGAGUCGCUCAGUGCCUUGCUGUUGAACUCCCUGUCCUCCCGUCUCAGCCUCCCGAGCUGCUGGGAUUAUAGGAGUGUGCCACUGCACGCGGCUUCUACUCAUUAGGAAAAAAAAAGUAUGUGUAUACACACACACACACACACACACACACGCGUUUAGUUCUAGAUGGACACAACACCUUUAUUUUGUUUAUUUAGUUUUUUUUAGUGUGGUGCUGGGGAUCGACCCAGAGCCUUGCACAUGCUACGCCAGCGCUCCACCCCUGAGCCCCAGCCCAGCCCUCAUUCACUUGUACACCCUCUCCCCUGUGUCUGUCGGUGCGGUGCGUCACAUCUGUACAGGCACACAGUGUGACAACGCAGUUGGCCGAUGCCACUCCCUGCACUGCCCCUCCUUCCCCCACUCCACCCCUCAGUCCCUUUCCUCUGCUGACCGCCCUUUGACCUUUAGGAGGUCCUUUCCCCUCUGUAGCUUCUGCAUGUGAGAGAGAGCACAGGACCCUUGACCUUCUGCGUUUACAUGAUGGUCUCUAGAUCCCCCCAUCUUCCUAAUGCCGUGACUCCCUUCUUCUUCAUGACUGAACAAGUCUCCGUUGUAUGUACCUAUCAGAUCUUCUUUAUCAGUUCAUCCACGGAUGGACACCUAGGCUGGAUCCGGAGUGUGGCUACUGUGGGCUGUGCUGCUGUGAACACGGGUGUGUAAGGUGACUUUGAACCUUCAGGAUAGACACCGAGGGGUGGUAACCGGCCACAGGGUGGCUCCGAGCCUGGUCUCUGAGGAGCCCCAUGCUGAUUUCCGCACUGAUUCACAGUCCCACCACAGUGUGGACGUGUCCCUCUUCCUCCACACCCUCUCCAGCACUGGUCAUCCAUGUUCUUGAUGCCUGCCCUCCUGCCUGCUGUGAGAUGAGAUUGCAGUGUAGUUCUGAUCUGCACUCCCCUGGUUCUAACAGCCUUGGACAUUUUUUGUGUAUGUGUUGGCCAUUUAGAUUCUUCUUUUGAGAAGUGUCUGUCUGGUUCACUUGCCCAUUGAUUAAUUGGGUUAUUGAGUUUUUGGUGAACGGUUUCUUGGGUUCUUUAGAUAUUCUAGAUACUAAUCCUCCCUUCUGUGGGUUCUCUCUGCACAUUCCUGACUGCUUCCUUUGCUGUGCGGCAGAUCUUCUAUUUUAAAAUGAUCGAGAGUUGUGGGAAGUUUGCAAGGACAGCACAGAAUGAUCCUGUGUCCCCUUACC
This 1294-nucleotide long non-coding RNA is filed under the name Marmota monax (woodchuck). The record is from RNAcentral. Lineage: Eukaryota; Metazoa; Chordata; Mammalia; Rodentia; Sciuridae.